UCUCUAUAAUGAAGCUGUUUCUAAAGGAGCGGCGGCGGCCUCGUCACAGCCGUUGAUGGUGGUGAGCACGACGUUCCUGGCGAUGGGCGGCUCAGUCUCCCUCCACAGCGCCUCCACUCCCCUCUUGACUGCCGCUGGGUGCUUCGCCCUAUGCGGUAGGAAGCAGAACAGCCUCUAGUUGCUCGAUCAUUGGUCGCCAAGGCCUCCGUCGCGAUCUCCCGUUCCACCGCCGGGGUGAAGCGGGACACGGAAGGGAGCAAGCAGAAAAAACUUGCCUUUCUCGAGAUCGAACGCAUCGCAGAUAUCAUCGAGGACUUCAAUAUGGUUCUGGUUAUUAGAAUUGGCUUGAAGAUGGGAAAAAGGAAGAUUGCUGCUGCUCAAUGCAGGUAAAUAUUCUUUCAUUUGUUUGUCAAUUGACUGACAAAUGUGGACUAUCCAUUUUUCAUGUUUACUGUGGAGCACAAACUUUAGUUGUGGAAAUUUAACGCUUAAUAGCAUAUGAUAUCUGAAAGCAUAGUUUAUUUUGUGAUUUGUUUCACUCAUUCAGACGUCAAGAUCAACGAAGAAAAUGCAGAGUGAGUAUCAAUGUGACUGCAAAGUGUAUGUCAAGUGAAGCUCAAAGGCAGGGUUCAGUUGUGAAGAAUGCCAUGAGAUGUUUUCUUGACUUUCCUUUUAAUUUCUCCUUGACUUACAAGGAAGAGUAGUGAAAUUUUGAUUGGUUCUGGAAUACUAGUGAAGGGGCUAUGAGCUUCAAGCUGCAUUUGGAUUUGGAAUGUUAAGUUUGUGCUUUCUUUUA
Molecule: non-coding RNA, 796 nt
Organism: Musa acuminata subsp. malaccensis (wild Malaysian banana)
Lineage: Eukaryota; Viridiplantae; Streptophyta; Magnoliopsida; Zingiberales; Musaceae
Source: RefSeq, a predicted model, not a curated record